RNAcentral lists this ribosomal RNA (253 nucleotides) under uncultured bacterium. Its description in RNAcentral is "partial 16S ribosomal RNA". It matches the Rfam family "Bacterial small subunit ribosomal RNA", at positions 524 to 776 of the family's 1533-position model. The record is from RNAcentral.
GACGUAGGGCGCGAGCGUUGUCCGGAUUUAUUGGGCGUAAAGAGCUCGUAGGCGGCUGCUCAAGUCGAAUGUGAAAACUCGAGGCUCAACCUCGAGCCUGCAUUCGAUACUGGGCGGCUAGAGUCUGGUAGGGGGAUCUGGAAUUCCUGGUGUAGCGGUGGAAUGCGCAGAUAUCAGGAGGAACACCGGUGGCGAAGGCGGGUCUCUGGGCCGAUACUGACGCUGAGGAGCGAAAGCGUGGGGAGCAAACGGG